Molecule: long non-coding RNA, 1538 nt
Filed under: Mus caroli (Ryukyu mouse)
Lineage: Eukaryota; Metazoa; Chordata; Mammalia; Rodentia; Muridae
Description: lncRNA (MGP_CAROLIEiJ_G0005561.1)
Source: RNAcentral
AAGUGCUCUCGCCCCCUGCUUUGCCUCUCCUCUGUCAAUGCAGGUGAAGUCUUCUUAUGAAGUGGAUUUGCUCCUUCAUCUUUCAGUACAUGAUGUCAGUCUCAAGCAAUAGCAAGCCUUUUAUUUCCCAGAAGAUACUCAACACUGUGGGCAAACUAAUGACACAUGUUAAGGAAUUCAGUCUUAUGGAAAUCAUCUAGAGGUUUGGAAAUUAGCCACUUUCUUCUCUAUCAAGAAGAAAGACUAUGUUAUCCUCUCAUUUGCCUUCUGAACAGCAAGAAUGAAAAUUCUUUCCAAAAUCAUAGUGGGUUUUUCAAUAUCCACACAGAAAAAUCUCUAUGGAAAUAAUAAUUCAGUGUCUCUGGAUUACUCUUGGAUGUUUGGGUAGCAAUUUCAUGAUCAACCUAUUGUUUUACCUCCAACACAGCUUAACCCACAUUUUCAAGGAUGAAAAUUAACUUCUUAAGAAAAAAACUACUAUACAAUAAGCAAUCAAAAGUCUUGGAAGAAGGCUAGGUGGAAGAUUAAGCUAGUGCCGUUAAGCUGGAGUGGAUUGUCAUAAAUCACACAAAUGAAAAUAAAAGGGAAAUUUUGAAAAUGAGAACGCUAUCUUCACUGUUAGCAAUGUAGAGAUAUAGCUAAUGGAAACUGAAAAUAGGAAGCAUUUGUAUUCACUGUUUAAAAAGUGUGCAUAAACAUAUAUACAUAACCAACAAUUGGAAGCCAAUAAUCAUCAGUAUUGAUUAUUAUUAAAGGGUUGUUUAAAUAAAUUAUUGUACAUCAAACACAAGAGAAUACAGUGCAACAAAAGGUGAUGAUAUAGUCUGUUUAUCUGAUCCUACCCAAUAAUGAAUGCUAAUGCAUCCUAUUAAUACAUAUAGCAAUGUGACAUGUAUGUUAUAUAGGUAUAGAAAGUGAGUUCCAGAUAUGAUAAGGGAAAAGCAAAAUAUAGAGAAAGCAUAUUAUAUGUUUCCAUGUGCAUAUGGAUAUGUAUGUAUUUUAUUUCAAUAUGUAAAAAAAGGGUCAAAGACAUAAUUGCUCACUUAAAAGCAAACUCCAUUUCACUUUUACUUCUUUUGACAAAUUUUAACAAAAGCAUAUCAAUGUUAAAUCAGAAGAUAAUUUAGUUAAUGUAAAACAAUGAUUUAAAGAUUUAUAUGACAUAUUUUUGAUAUUCUAGUCAUGAAAAUCAUAAUUACCAUAGGAACAGCUUACUAUAAUGGCUUAUGCGGUAUAAAACUGAAGAAAGGCCAUUUCAUAUUGCAAGCUAUGAAACAAUUCAUUUGGGAUAAACAGCCAAACAGUACUGCUGGCAGGAUUGCCAGGUAAAACACCUUGUGGUUAUUUGCUGACUCCAUCAAAAGUAAAAGGUUAUAUUAUUUAUACAAUGUCAGAAAUUAAGAUAUUUCUUUGUGGUCAGAUUUUCUUGCUGUUUAAGUAAAAUUCUUGGCUGUUUAAAAUGAAAUUGUAUAUAGUAUUCUAGAGUUGUAUAAAUAUUGUUACAGAUUUUAAAGUAUAAGAUUUUAGAUACUAAUGAU